GAACCUACCUAUUUCCUGCUUCCGUGGUAAUCCGUGAUGUGAAGAUGGGCGUUGAGCAGAAAACGAAACCUCUCUAAAACCACCGCAACUCCCUCGCUAGAGUAUGUAGGCUAUAGGAAAUACAUGCUGUUCCAACAGGCUCUGACCAUGCCGUAACCUGCCUCUUCAGCACCUUGGCCUUGCCCUGAUAUGUCUGGAGGGUAUGGUUUCAUGCUCAUCCAUCUGUAUUCCUCUUGACUGUAUCACAUCAACACUAGAGCGUAAGACAAGUAAGGGGCAGACAAGCUACUGCGCACAGCGGUACAGUAUCCCUGUACAUAGAGGGCCAGAACAUUUGACCAGAGAGUCCAGAGAGACCUCUUCCAAAUGACUGCUGACAGCUCCUCUCCUGACAGCAGCUCCUGAAGAGUCAGCCAGGAUGUCCAGGAAGAUAGAGACUGAAAACAUCAAUGGGCAAAUAGCACUCAGGAUGUCAUAGUUUGACCAUUGUUUAAAGCCAAGUACGAGUUGUACUCUGGAGCAAGGCCAGAACUGAGCACAUGGAACAUGAAAAGGGACAACUGGGUGGAUUUAGCACUCCGACAAUUACAACAGUAUAUGUGGAUCUCGACAACACCUGGGACAUACAUGGGAAAACAAAUCUUUGCAAAAGGCACAAUGCUGGAUUUAUGGCAGUGGUGACGAGGCAGAACAAGCAUCAGGUGCACUUCAUUAUGCACUGCCAGCAGCGCUGUCUUGUCACAACUCCUCUCAGCCGCCUGCUUAUGUCUUGAAGACAACAGGUAUGUUCCAUUCACCCAAAUGUGCCCUGAAAAAAAGGAAUUCACAGACAAUUCGGCCAUCUUAAGUGAACAUUUAAACCAUAGGGAACAUUUACAUUUAGUCGAAUGGGCUCUGCAAAUGACAUGCAAAAAAGGUACAAAAGCUUUUUUACAUUAUUUACUCCUAAAGGGUGUAUAUAAGUACCUUAAAGCUAUAUAUUAGUACCUACAGUAUACAUUUUAGUACUUAAAUGAUACAUAAAUGCACCUUUUGAAAACGUACCACUCUGGUGACAGAACUAUUUUUAGUAUUGAUAGUGAGAAAUGGUCAUGUAGAAUAAGGCAUUAAUAUGUGCUUAAUUACUACUAAUAAAUGGCUAAUAUUCUAUUAAUAUGCAUGUUAAUUAGCAACUAGGUCAGAGACCCUAAAAUAAAGUUACCAACUUAACUAGCCACUCUUUACACAAAUGUUCUUACAUAAGCUUAAAAGUCCAAUGCCCAUAAAGAUACUAAUGAUUAGUAAAUGUUUAUAAACAUUUACAGAUGAUGAACAGUUUCCACAGACUGGGUACUGCAAAAACAUGAACACAUUAUUAAUAAAUGAUUUGUAACGAUGAGUAAAUAGGGUGAAUUUAGGUCAUUUGAGACAGUUUUUGGCAUUGAGAUGACUGCUUAUAAAGUUAUUAAUGAUUAGUAAAUGUCUAUAAACAUUUACAAAUAAUGAAAAGUUUCAACUUUGGAUGGAGUACUGCAAAAACAUGAACAAAUGAUUAACAAAUGUUACACUCUAAAAAUGUUGUAUUUUAUGUUUUUCUUUUACCCAAAUGCUGGGUUCAGCCCGUUGGGUCAUUUUAUUAGGUUGUUUUUAAUAUUUUUACCCAGGUGCUGGGUUAUUUUUUUUAACCCAAAUGCUGGGUCAUUUUAUUGGGUUAUUUUUAAAUAUUUUCUUUACCCAGGUGCUGGGUAGUUUUUCCUGUAACUAAGUUGCUGGGUCAUUUGAGACACUUUUUGCCAUUGAGAUGACUGCUCAACAAAUGUUACACUAAAAAUGCUGGAUUAUUAUUAUUAUUUUUUUUUAACCCAAAUGCUGGGUUCAGCCUGUUGGGUCAUUUUAUUGGGUUGUUUUUUAAUAUUUUUACUCAGGUGCUGGGUUAUUUUUUUUAACCCAAAUACUUGGUUCAAGCUUGUUGGGUCAUUUUAUGGGUUAUUUUUAAUAUUUUUUUACCCAGGUGCUGCGUAGUUUUUCUUGUAACCAAGUUGCUGGGUCAUUUUUAACACUGGGUUAUUUUUUAUACCCAACCGCUGGGUUGAGCCUGAAUACAGAGUUACAGUCAGACAUCAGGCUUUUUGUGUCCACUACAGGAGAGAGCGGUUCUCAGCGCCGACAGUUUGGUGCACUUCUUCAGCGAAAUAAAAGUUUGUAUACAUUUUAUUUAAUUUAAAAGUCUUAAAUGUGGUGUAAAUUAUAUUAUUUUACACAACGCAACAUAAGGAUGAGAUAUCAGUCAGCUGAGAAUGAGAAUUAGCACGAGAAUUAGCGCUAUUUUGGUAAAGAGUGAUUACAGAGAAUGGUUGAAUAGACUUAAAUUAAAAUGCUACUUUUAAAUGUUAAAUUUUUGGUGUCUAAAAUGCUUGUUAAAUGAGUUUAAAUGUAUGUAAUAUUGU
Onychostoma macrolepis is the source of this 2426-nucleotide long non-coding RNA. RefSeq lists it as uncharacterized. The transcript has 5 exons. NCBI's taxonomy places the organism in Eukaryota, Metazoa, Chordata, Actinopteri, Cypriniformes, Cyprinidae. The record is from RefSeq and is a predicted model, not a curated record.